CUGGCUCAGGAUGAACGCUAGCGGCAGGCUUAACACAUGCAAGUCGAGGGGCAUCGGGAGUAGCAAUACUGCCGGCGACCGGCGCAAGGGUGCGUAACGCGUGAGCAACAUGCCCGUAUCAGGGGGAUAAUCCAUGGAAACGUGGUCUAAUACCCCAUAGUAAUUAUGUAAGGCAUCUUAUAUAAUUUAAAGCUUUGGUGGAUACGGAUUGGCUCGCGUGACAUUAGCUGGAUGGUAAGGUAACGGCUUACCAUGGCUACGAUGUCUAGGGGUUCUGAGAGGAAGGUCCCCCACACUGGAACUGAGACACGGUCCAGACUCCUACGGGAGGCAGCAGCUAAGAAUAUUCCGCAAUGGACGAAAGUCUGACGGAGCGACGCCGCCGUGGAUGAAGAAGGCCGGAAGGUUGUAAAAUCCUUUUGAAACUGAAGAAUAAGCGUUGUAGGGAAUGACAGCGUGGUGACAGUAGGUUUUGAAUAAGCAACGGCUAAUUACGUGCCAGCCGCGGC
RNAcentral lists this ribosomal RNA (509 nucleotides) under uncultured bacterium. RNAcentral's name for it is "bacterial SSU rRNA". It matches the Rfam family "Bacterial small subunit ribosomal RNA", at positions 19 to 518 of the family's 1533-position model. The record is from RNAcentral.